RNAcentral lists this small RNA (260 nucleotides) under Arabidopsis thaliana (thale cress). RNAcentral describes it as "ATSL207580". The record is from RNAcentral. Lineage: Eukaryota; Viridiplantae; Streptophyta; Magnoliopsida; Brassicales; Brassicaceae.
GUUGUUAAAAAAAUCCAAAAUCCGCUAGAUGUAUCAAAGUGUUGAGAAAGCUUCUCCAAGAGUUAAGAGAAAAGAAAAGAAUGAUUAGAAAAGAGCUUAAAAGAUUCAUGAAUGCAAAGGGUAGAGUUAAGUUCUUAUAUUGGGAUUGGAGAUGGAAUUACCAUUAGAGCUUCAUUUGAUAUACUCUGGGUAGAUGGGAUCUUAUCUCAAUAUGCAUAGCUUGGGACUUACCUUUAGCAUUCUACUAAAGCUUAUUCAUU